GGGAAUAUUGGACAAUGGGCGCAAGCCUGAUCCAGCCAUGCCGCGUGAGUGAUGACGGCCCUAGGGUUGUCAAGCUCUUUUACCUGGGAAGAUAAUGACGGUACCAGGAGAAUAAGCCCCGGCUAACUUCGUGCCAGCAGCCGCGGUAAUACGAAGGGGGCUAGCGUUGUUCGGAUUUACUGGGCGUAAAGCGCACGUAGGCGGACGCUUAAGUCAGGGGUGAAAUCCCGAGGCUCAACCUCGGAACUGCCUUUGAUACUGGGUGUCUUGAGUCCGGGAGAGGUGAGUGGAACUGCGAGUGUAGAGGUGAAAUUCGUAGAUAUUCGCAAGAACACCAGUGGCGAAGGCGGCUCACUGGCCCGGUACUGACGCUGAGGUGCGAAAGCGUGGGGAGCAAA
RNAcentral lists this ribosomal RNA (398 nucleotides) under uncultured Methylocella sp. RNAcentral's name for it is "bacterial SSU rRNA". It matches the Rfam family "Bacterial small subunit ribosomal RNA", at positions 357 to 772 of the family's 1533-position model. Lineage: Bacteria; Pseudomonadati; Pseudomonadota; Alphaproteobacteria; Hyphomicrobiales; Beijerinckiaceae. The record is from RNAcentral.